GAUGAACGCUGGCGGCGUGCCUAAUACAUGCAAGUCGAGCGAACAGACGAGGAGCUUGCUCCUCUGACGUUAGCGGCGGACGGGUGAGUAACACGUGGAUAACCUACCUAUAAGACUGGGAUAACUUCGGGAAACCGGAGCUAAUACCGGAUAAUAUAUUGAACCGCAUGGUUCAAUAGUGAAAGACGGUUUUGCUGUCACUUAUAGAUGGAUCCGCGCCGCAUUAGCUAGUUGGUAAGGUAACGGCUUACCAAGGCGACGAUGCGUAGCCGACCUGAGAGGGUGAUCGGCCACACUGGAACUGAGACACGGUCCAGACUCCUACGGGAGGCAGCAGUAGGGAAUCUUCCGCAAAGGGCGAAAGCCUGACGGAGCAACGCCGCGUGAGUGAUGAAGGUCUUCGGAUCGUAAAACUCUGUUAUUAGGGAAGAACAAACGUGUAAGUAACUAUGCACGUCUUGACGGUACCUAAUCAGAAAGCCACGGCUAACUACGUG
This 497-nucleotide ribosomal RNA is filed under the name uncultured bacterium. Its description in RNAcentral is "partial 16S ribosomal RNA". It matches the Rfam family "Bacterial small subunit ribosomal RNA", at positions 28 to 507 of the family's 1533-position model. The record is from RNAcentral.